Molecule: long non-coding RNA, 3150 nt
Organism: Leptopilina boulardi
Lineage: Eukaryota; Metazoa; Arthropoda; Insecta; Hymenoptera; Figitidae
Exons: 13
Source: RefSeq, a predicted model, not a curated record
GAUAAAUAUGAAACAAAGUUUUUUUCAACUGUUUGCAUUUUUACCUUGUUAGUGUUGAGUUUUUUUCUAUGUCAUAACCAUAAAGUUUCGAGAAUUGGAAAAGAUUUAUUAAUAAUAAAAUGAAUGGGCAUGUGCAGCUUCUGGUGGGCCUCUUGUGUAUAUAGUCAGAACCACAACGCCCACAGAGAGAGGGAUAACGAGGCAAAAGCAUCAUCGUUGUGAAGGUGAAGCAGCAAUGGACCUUAACAGAAGAGUCGGUUUGAGAGACAUAAUUGAUAUCUCUGAAGGUGAAGUAGGAGGCGACUGAGUUAUCCUGUAGGAAAUUACAACAGCGUUGAGUCAACGAGGACACGAAAAGUCAGAUGGACCACCACGAUUCCUCAUCUCGUGAACAACUUGUAUCUCAAUAUUCUUUUGAGGAGAUAAUCAAAUUGCCGUAAGCGAAACCACCUUGUUUGUGCUCAUAAAUCAGAAAUAGUCCCUCAACCUCGGUCCUCCCACAUAGAUAUAUAAGAUUUUCCUUGUCAAAUCAGAGACUGUAUUGAAACGAGAACUAUUGAAAUCAAAUUGAAUAUGCUUACGUCGUUCAGCAACUCUCGACGAUAUUCGGAUUCAUCGAUGUCAAUUUCAGAAGCAAGAUCAGUGUGAUCUGUAACGUAACCAUCACAUGGACCACUAUUUGCUUCACUUUGAGCGUAUUCUUCCUCAAUGGCACCGGCAAUUGUCGGUAUCGAAGUACCAGUUGCUAGCAGCAUCUCUGCGAAAAGCACGUCAUCACCAAGAAAUAAAAGAACGGUAAAAGAAGAUGGAAAAAUAUUGGAAUAUAUAUUCUGAUGAUUAUGCAAAUGCAGCUGUAAAUGUUAUAAAUUCUUUUCUCGUAAAGUGUAAAUAAUCAAAAGCUCAAGACGCAAUCAACUGCAGAACACUUUACGAUAUUAUAUACAAGUGUCUAACUCUUGAAGAAAAUGGUUGAGGAAAUUUGAUUAGACCAAAAGAAGAAAAAUUCGUCUGUUUGGAAAGAUUAUUUUAUCUUUGAGUGCCGAUCCAGAUGUUCUCUAUACUUUGUCGUUAGCAAACCUUUUGUCGAAGUUGUUUCUUUUGGAAUGUCUCCAGAUCUCGAUAACUUUUCGAGGUUUCAUCAAGAAGUGGAGCUUCAUCAUCUGAACUUUCAUUCUUAUUUUUUCUACUUCUUCGACUUAAUAAAGGACUGGAAAGAAGUCGUCUUCUAAUCGGAGAAGCAGAGGCUGGUCUCUUGCCUUUUUUCGAAGGAGCUGGACUACUUGGUGCAGCAAAGAUGUUCUAUAAGUCACUUGACCUAAGUUUGCUGGUAUUGAAUCCGCUAGACCGUGAAUUUUGAACUUUGUGCCCCAGAUGUUCGAUGUAACUUCGACCAACCUUGCAUCCUGGAAAUAAAUCAGCGUUCCAUGCCAUGGAUGUCACACCAGCUUCUAAUUGAAUUUCGGAAACCAUCGCACCAUGAACGUCCAUUACUAUCAAUUGGCCCGCUGUUGUUCCAAAAUAAACCUGGAAAUCUGUGAAAAGUAUCAUAGAGAUUCAAUAUACUGAUAAAAAAAAAUUUUACUUUUCAAAAAACAAAAUAAUGCCUCAUAUAUGAAAAAUUCUGAAGGUGGAAUAAAAAUUAAAGAAGUUACUUCUCGCACUUACAAGAUCAAAGUGACAGGAAAUGUGGACUUUUAGAAGCGAAAAGAAUUCUCAUUGUCAUUUGUUUUUGGUCGAACAAGAAGAACGGAAUGAUUCAGUGUCAUGAAAAAUAAUCACACAACAAAAAAGUAAAGGAAAUUUUAAAUAUAUAAUAGGACAACUUGAAAGAGAAAUUUUGGCUCACUUGACAUCUUUUUUUGUUCUCGCUUAAUAAGUGGAUCUUGUCUGACACGAUAACAUUCUACUCAUUAAAAAGGUUGAAUUUCUAUGAAAUUUUUAGUCAAAAAAAAAAAAAAAAAAAAAAAAUAAGAAUAAGAAUAUGUGAUGGAAAAAUGGUGUAUUAGAGAAAAAUUGAAGUUUGAAGGACUAAUUUGAAGAAAUGCGAAGAGACAAUGGUGAAUUUUGAAAAUAUCGAAUAAACUGGAAACAAUGGGAGCAAGAAGCACCAAAUCGAGCAUUCAGUAUCCACUUGAGACACUAGUCACGAUCGUCAUCUUGAGCCAGUGUAGUACAAAGCCCCUUUCUAAACUUUCUCUCCCUUCUCCUCUUGCCCUUAUUCUAUAUAUCCGUAUAUAUAGUACGUUUGUACUGUGUAGUACUCUCUCUCCUUUUCCUGGCACACUCGAGAACUAUAUAGCAGCCUCCUGAAAACCCCUGUGAGAUACCCUCCCAAAAGUUAUUAACUUGGCUAAAGCCUUCACAAUCCCUCUGUCCUUCCCAUGGAAAUGUAUACCUUAUCUUUCUACUCAUCAGCUUAACAGGCAAUUUAUCUCAUUGUAAAAUCUAUAUAUUUCCUCCGAAAACUAAAUACAAGAUGCUCUCUAAUUAAAUUAUUAUUAAACAAUAAUAUUUCAAUUUAUUGUAAUUAGGUGGCAAAAGUUAAUGUUAUAAACUUAAUUACAGUUCAUAAAGUUAACAUAUAUUUAAUUUAAAUUUAAUUUUCAAAUUUAAUAUUAGUUUAAUUUAUUCCAAUUCACUUAAUCAGAAAUUAUGACUGAAAUUAUAUUAAUUAAGUAAAUUAAAUUAGAACUAUAUAUAUUGACCUCUCUCUUGUUUUUGUCGGUCAUAAUGCAAUUUUCGAUUCAGGAAACAUAUUUUUUUGAAUAUCACAAAUUUUAAAUAAAAAUCUUUUCAAAUAUUUAAAUAGAAAUUUUAUAUCAAAUCUUGUCAAUAUAGGACAAAACAUUUAUGUGCAGUUUAUAUUUGAAUAACGAGAAGACGGUAUAUAAUGAGACAAAAACUCAAUGGGUUUUGUGUUCAAUGUUCCUAGCAUGCAACACUGCGAGCGAUACAACUUUACAUGAUAUGUAACUUUACUUGCAUGUCAAUGCAAUCUGUUCGUUAGAAAUAAAAUCUUUUCCUAAAUAUAUAUGUAUAUGUUCGAAACAUUUCGAUAACAAUAAGUGAUUUGAAUUUUCGAGUUAACAAUUCUUUCUAACAUUGAUAACAAAAUAAUUUUUGAAAUUUCGAUUUUAGAGGGAAACAAAA